AAAAAAUAAUCCUUUUUCUCGGGCGGCUUUCACAUUUUAACAAAAGGAUUGGGGCUGUCACCCGCGCGCGCCCUUAAAGCUUAAUGUUUUGUGUGAAGGAUAACGGCUCUCCCCCAAAGGCAAACGAUUGCGUGUAGCGGCCCUGGAGAGGGUGUAUUCGGCCCACCUGGGACUUGGGACACGGCCCCAGGAUUCCUUACGGGAGGCAAGCAGUGAGGGAAUCUUCCCCAAUGGACGAAAGUUUUGACGGAGGCAACCCCGCUUGACGAUGAAGACCUCUCGGUCGUAAAGCCUCUUUUUCAGGGAAGAACAAGUACCGGAGUAACUGCCGGUACCUAGACGGUACCUGACCAGAAAGCCACGGCUAACUACGUGCCAGCAGCCGCGGUAAUACGUAGGUGGCAAGCGUUUUCCGGAAUUUUUGGGCGUAAAGCGCGCGCAGGCGGUUCCUUAAGUCUGAUGUGAAAGCCCCCGGCUCAACCGGGGAGGGUCAUUGGAAACUGGGGAACUUGAGUGCAGAAGAGGAGAGCGGAAUUCCACGUGUAGCGGUGAAAUGCGUAGAGAUGUGGAGGAACACCAGUGGCGAAGGCGGCUCUCUGGUCUGUAACUGACGCUGAGGCGCGAAAGCGUGGGGAGCGAACAGGAUUAGAUACCCUGGUAGUCCACGCCGUAAACGAUGAGUGCUAAGUGUUAGAGGGUUUCCGCCCUUUAGUGCUGCAGCAAACGCAUUAAGCACUCCGCCUGGGGAGUACGGCCGCAAGGCUGAAACUCAAAGGAAUUGACGGGGGCCCGCACAAGCGGUGGAGCAUGUGGUUUAAUUCGAAGCAACGCGAAGAACCUUACCAGGUCUUGACAUCCUCUGACAACCCUAGAGAUAGGGCGUUCCCCUUCGGGGGACAGAGUGACAGGUGGUGCAUGGUUGUCGUCAGCUCGUGUCGUGAGAUGUUGGGUUAAGUCCCGCAACGAGCGCAACCCUUGAUCUUAGUUGCCAGCAUUCAGUUGGGCACUCUAAGGUGACUGCCGGUGACAAACCGGAGGAAGGUGGGGAUGACGUCAAAUCAUCAUGCCCCUUAUGACCUGGGCUACACACGUGCUACAAUGGAUGGAACAAAGGGUCGCGAAGCCGCGAGGUCGAGCCAAUCCCAUAAAUCCAUUCUCAGUUCGGAUUGCAGGCUGCAACUCGCCUGCAUGAAGCCGGAAUCGCUAGUAAUCGCGGAUCAGCAUGCCGCGGUGAAUACGUUCCCGGGCCUUGUACACACCGCCCGUCACACCACGAGAGUUUGUAACACCCGAAGUCGGUGGGGUAACCUUUAUGGAGCCAGCCGCUAUAAUCUGG
This 1336-nucleotide ribosomal RNA is filed under the name Mesobacillus boroniphilus. Its description in RNAcentral is "bacterial SSU rRNA". It matches the Rfam family "Bacterial small subunit ribosomal RNA", at positions 172 to 1465 of the family's 1533-position model. Lineage: Bacteria; Bacillati; Bacillota; Bacilli; Caryophanales; Bacillaceae. The record is from RNAcentral.